GCAAAAUGAAACAAAGAACAAAAUCCAAGGAUAUCAGAGGGAGACAAACAAAAACAUUCACAUAUUUCUCAAUGAACAUCAAGGAAUAAAAGGAAUGGGUAACAUCUAACAUAAGGAGAUCCAAAAAGUCAAGACAUUCAUGAAAAUCAUCCAAGCAACCCAAUCAUGGCAAAAUAGUUAAUCAGCUCAAGAAUGAAAAGUGAUAAAGCCUCACAAGAUAUACACUCUAUCUCUCAAGUGUUUAGGCUACUAUUUACCCUCAAAGCACCCAUGAAAGCAAACACCACAUAAACUUGGCAAGAUUCUAAAAUUGACAAUCAACCCAUAAACACAAGCACAUGAGGAUCAAAAGGUCUUUUAAGGUUGUAAUGGGGCCAAGGACAAGGUAUGGAGAAAUAUGGAAUAAGUGGCUAAAUCCCAAAGGAAUAGAGGAGCAAAG
RNAcentral lists this long non-coding RNA (439 nucleotides) under Glycine max (soybean). RNAcentral's name for it is "long non-coding RNA (GMAX_LNC000383)". The record is from RNAcentral. Lineage: Eukaryota; Viridiplantae; Streptophyta; Magnoliopsida; Fabales; Fabaceae.